This 1242-nucleotide ribosomal RNA is filed under the name metagenome. RNAcentral describes it as "bacterial LSU rRNA". It matches the Rfam family "Bacterial large subunit ribosomal RNA", at positions 1564 to 2816 of the family's 2925-position model. The record is from RNAcentral.
UGAAUACGAGAUGCUACGGCGUCGAAGCAGUCUAUGUCAUACUUCCAAGAAAAGCUUGCACUGUCAUAAACAAAUAAUGCCUGUACCAUAACCGACACAGGUGGGUAGGUAGAGUAUACUAAGGGGCGCGAGAUAACUCUCUCUAAGGAACUCGGCAAAAUGACUCCGUAACUUCGGGAGAAGGAGUGCCUUAUUUAUAAGGUUGCAAUAACAAGAUCCAAGCAACUGUUUACCAAAAACACAGGUCUCCGCUAAGUCGUAAGACGAUGUAUGGGGGCUGACGCCUGCCCAGUGCCAGAAGGUUAAAGAAGUUGGUUAGCAUCCGCGAAGCUGAUAACUGAAGCCCUGGUGAACGGCGGCCGUAACAAUAACGGUCCUAAGGUAGCGAAAUUCCUUGUCGGGUAAGUUCCGACCCGCACGAAAGGCGUAAUGAUUUGGAUACUGUCUCGGAGAGGGGCUCGGUGAAAUAGACUUGUCUGUGAAGAUGCGGACUACCCGCACCAGGACAGAAAGACCCUAUGAAGCUUUACUGUAACCUGAAAUUGAAAUUGGACUUUACUUGCGCAGUAUAGGUGGGAGGCGUUGAGAAUAUUCUUGCGGGAUUAUUGGAGCCAUCAGUGAGAUACCACUCUUGUAAUGUUAGAUUUCUAACUUUGUAUCAUUAUCUGGUCAAAGAACAGUUUCAGGCGGGCAGUUUGACUGGGGCGGUCGCCUCCUAAACGGUAACGGAGGCGCACAAAGGUUUCCUCUGAACGGGUAGAAAUCGUAUCUAGAGUGUAAAGGCAUAAGGAAGCUUGACUGUGAGACCUACAAGUCGAGCAGGGACGAAAGUCGGUCUUAGUGAUCUGACGGUGCUGAGUGGAAAGGCCGUCACUCAACGGAUAAAAGUUAUUCUAGGAUAACAGGCUGAUCUCCCCCAAGAGUUCACAUCGACGGGGAGGUUUGGCACCUCGAUGUCGGCUCAUCGCAUCCUGGGGCGGUAGUACGUCCCAAGGGUUGGGCUGUUCGCCCAUGAAAGCGGUACGCGAGCUGGGUUCAGAACGUCGUGAGACAGUUCGGUCCAUAUCCGGUGUAGGCGUUAGAAUAUUGAGAGGAGCCUUCUUUAGUACGAGAGGACCGAGAAGGACAUACCUCUGGUGUACCAGUUAUCGUGCCAACGGUAAACGCUGGGUAGCUAUGUGUGGAGUGGAUAACCGCUGAAAGCAUCUAAGUGGGAAGCCCACCUCAAGAUAAGUAUUCUCA